Desarmillaria ectypa is the source of this 95-nucleotide non-coding RNA. NCBI's taxonomy places the organism in Eukaryota, Fungi, Basidiomycota, Agaricomycetes, Agaricales, Physalacriaceae. The record is from the annotation of a GenBank genome assembly.
UCUCUGGUAAUAUAUUGGUUAGUAUGCGUGCCUGUCAUAAUUGUUUCUUGCCGUUGUAUCCCAGUCCAAGCUGGGUUCGACUCCCAACCUGAGAG